RNAcentral lists this transfer RNA (74 nucleotides) under Parcubacteria group bacterium ADurb.Bin159. RNAcentral's name for it is "tRNA-Ile". It matches the Rfam family "tRNA". Rfam says of the family: Transfer RNA (tRNA) molecules are approximately 80 nucleotides in length. The record is from RNAcentral.
UGCGCCUGUAGUUCAGUGGUAGAACGUCCGCCUUAUAAGCGGAAAGUUGGAAGUUCGAUUCUUCCCAGGCGCAU